Perca flavescens (yellow perch) is the source of this 807-nucleotide long non-coding RNA. RefSeq lists it as uncharacterized. The record is from RefSeq and is a predicted model, not a curated record. The transcript is spliced from 2 exons. Lineage: Eukaryota; Metazoa; Chordata; Actinopteri; Perciformes; Percidae.
AGCCACAGCCCAGGAAAGUUAGGCUCCUUGAUUGACUGGGCUUCGGGUGAGCGCAGAGAUAGGUAGCUAUAGGCCUAAUAACAGGUGUGUGAGGGACUGCCUGUCAAACAUAACAACCUGUGUGCUGACUAAGGAAAAAAAUGUUGUGGAGGACUGGUCAUGCUGAGAUUAACUUGAGUAUUUUACAGACUGUUUUGGUGUUACUAUCAGUUUCCUAGCUAUGCUAGCAGUAGCAACAGCGCUAACGCUAAACUAGCGCCUUUUAGCCGACUUUUGACGGGACGAAAACAGGAGACAGUCACAGACAGUAUAGCUAAGGUCGCACCUCUGGCAACGUGGACCAUGACGUCUCUCCGCCGCUAAGGAGGAGCUGUUUCCAAGCAACCAGCCGUUUCCAGCCUCAAGGGACUGUGAGAAACGUAUAACUGCUAGUUGCCACUCGGCAUCAUGAGGAAGCUUCUGCAGGGAGCCAUAACUGCCGCCAAAGGCCUUUUAAAUCCUCGGAUUUGAUGGCUUGAGGAUUCAGCAGGAGGAUUCAAAAAGGAUGAAGAGAAAAUUGCACAUCCUAAAGAAAACAGAGCAUUUGCAUCCCUGUGUCCAGGAUGAAAAAGGGAGAAAAAGAAAUGGAAAUGCAUACUAAUUUAUCUUUGGCUUUUACUGCUCCUUGAUGGUCCAUAACUCACUCUUACCAUGAUUCCCUUUUCCCCUUCAUACUGCCGGAUUCAAAAUCCACUACGCCAUGUUUUAAUGACCUUAUUAUAGGCAAAUCUACACUGUCCAAUAAAAACUUUACACUUUGAACUGUGA